GUCAACGGAACAUCAUUAGGGAGGAUAUCAUUCAUGUACAUGCUGUUAACUGUGCUAAGCUCCACUUUCAAGUUUGUACAUCAAAUGAGACAAUAACGAUGAAGGUCUUCUUUGGCAGAAAAAUACAUUGCCAGCUAAAUGGAAUUUGACCUUCCUAGAACUGUUUUGUAGUAGACUCAAGAAUCAUUAUUGAUGAAACCAGAAUCAAUCAGCAGUCUUCUCAUUUACACACUUGCUUCCAAACAACAUAAAGAAAGAGCCAAGCAUCUGCCUUAUCU
Molecule: long non-coding RNA, 278 nt
Organism: Lontra canadensis (Northern American river otter)
Lineage: Eukaryota; Metazoa; Chordata; Mammalia; Carnivora; Mustelidae
Exons: 3
Source: RefSeq, a predicted model, not a curated record